Molecule: long non-coding RNA, 649 nt
Filed under: Neodiprion pinetum (white pine sawfly)
Lineage: Eukaryota; Metazoa; Arthropoda; Insecta; Hymenoptera; Diprionidae
Description: uncharacterized LOC124219646
Source: RNAcentral
CAUCCGCGGGGGCCAAGAAUUGCGGUGACCUUGGCCCCGACUGGCCGCCUUCCUACUCCGCUCGGCAAAUUCACACUUCGUCGUUUUAGUCGCAGUCGCGGACGUCUGGUCGCUGGGCUAAAUUUAGAAUCCGAGACACCGGCCCCCUUACUCGGGACGAUACCGCAUUCCCAAGUUCUACUUCGCGCAGACUGUUCCAAAGCUGGGUGUCCGAAUACUGGUCGAAAGGAUCCGGGUUGUAACGGAGAAUCGUUGAGAACAGAAUCGGCUCCUGAGGGAUCAUCGAAAUCCGGGGUCGCAACUCGUGUAGUCCAAUCAACUUCGCGUCGAUCCCAUCCAGCAGAAUUUCUCCCUCCAGUCCAUUUCCGGUUCCCCCGCCAGAAGAAACAGAAAACGAUGAAGAAAACGACGAUAACCGCGAUGAUACGAUAUGGUACCAAGUAGAACUGACCUUGUCAAGACGGAAUACACGAUUUUCAGGUCUUAGAACGCUCGUUAAAAAAACCUGUUCACCACACUUCAACGUCUCGAAAAAGAGACCGCUGAAUUGACAAAACCUACACUGUUAAAGAUUUCUAUAUGUAAUUUCUCACACUGUAUUAGAAGUUUUAUCCGGAUGCGGAACAGUGAAUUCACCAUACAUUUGCUG